GUGUUAGCCGGGAUGGCUUCGAUCUUCUGACCUCGUGAUCUGCCCGCCUCGGCCUCCCAAAGUGCUGGGAAUACAGGCGUGAGCCACCACGCCUGGCCUGAGGCAGGGUUUCUUAAGUGAGGCGCUUUAAAACUCACUUCUUUGGCAGGGCUGUAUUUUGGAGAGUUGAAGAUGUAAAGCUGGUAAGUGAGAGUCUCCCCUCUUUAGGUAAUCCCACAGCAUCCCAAAGGAACAGAGGUGAUCUCUUGUUUAUUGACAACCAACUUGGACUCCUAAAAGCCACCAUCUACUUGAGGCCUUUCCUUGAAAAGACCUCACCUUUCUAGUUACGCUAGUGGUAUUUUAGCUGAGCAAAAAAUAUGUGAACAAAAAGGACAGAGAUAUAGUAUACAGCCGUUACAACUUUAUUCCUGAAACUACAUUUCAGUCAGCAGAGUGUAAAUGACUUAUCUGUGCAACCCAGACACAUCUGCUAAUGUAGCAUUCCAAUUCAUUUGGGUAACGUUGGACCUAGGAGAUGUUCCUUCAUAUUUCUUUUGUGUCAAUCAUCUCUCGUAUCUUGACUUUCUUUUGCUAGUCCUGUCCACAGAUGCCUUGUAUUCAAACUAAAGGCGAAGAUUCCAUUCAGAGUCCUCUUCCAAACACUGUGGCUUCCAUUCUAAAAUACCAUGACUAGAGGUGAAUAAUCCUCACAGCCAGCGAUUUAUGGCCCAAAUCCCUCCAAAUUACAUUCGAUAACAAGUAAACCCUUCUGAUUCAGAGGCCCUCCAGUUAAUUAACUAUAGGACCCAGCUAAAAUCAUUUUUGGCAGAUGUUGUACAAAACGUAACUGGUACAUAUCCAAUUACAUAAAACAGGUACAUUUAUUUAGAAACUAAAAUAAGGACAUCGUUCAAUUAAUGCAUCCUGACAGUAUCAAACUGCUUUGAUCAAAACUAUGUUAUCUUUGGGAACAUUAUCCAGGUUUUAUAUGGUCAUUGAGGAGAACUAGUACCAACUGCUCUAACAGUUUACGGGCCCAAAGCUUCUUCUCAUGCUCUAUAGAGUAAAAUUUUCAGGGCUUCAUUAAUCAUUUUUUCAAUCACCAGAAAAGCCCCCAGAACUAUUUCCCAACAACAAUUCUAGCUUUCUGCAUCUUGUCUCCAUGAAGUGGUCAACCAGCUAUCAAUCCAAGUAGAUGCCAUACUUUGCCUACUCACAUUUCAUUAAAAAGUAUCAAAUUUCCAUGUUUUCUUUUUAUUUCCAAAGGAUAUAGUUCCAUCCUCAACGGACACACUGUCUCUCUAAAAUAUAAAACAGUGCUCCGGUUUGCAAUAAUGGGUAGAUUCUUCCAGUCUAGAUAUCAAUACGAUGGUGCCUGGAGGAGCUCCUUAACUCAGGACUUUAUGGAUCUAUUAAAAAGACCAGUGGGGACUGUAUACUUUAUACGAUAUAGUAAACUGGAACCUCAGUUAUGAUGACUUGUAAUUCUGCACAACAGAGUUGUGGUAUCAGUUACCAGACCUGAAUGAAAGGCUGGUUGGGGCUGUAUUUUCUUCUUCCUCUUGCUUUGUUUCACUCUCGCUGAAGUGUGUGUUCUUUCCACACCAUUCCGGCUCCACCAUGUCUGAGUUGGAAUUUUCUUUCUGGUUUCAGAGCACCUUUCCCUGAUAUUCUGUUUGCUUUUGGUCCAGAUUACUUCACCUGCAGCCUUUGGCAAUUGUUGGCCAGGAGGCACCUCUGCACGUGCCUUCUGCUAAGUUCCUUUACAAGCCCAGGAACGGCGAACCAUCCCUUUCUUCCCUCGGUGUCCCCAGUCCGUGCCCUCCAUUAAGGAUUGUUCUGCUUGGGCAACACUGAGAUAAUGGGAAGGUUUUAUUCUGCUUCUUUUGCCUUGAAAAGUGAUGUUCUGCUGAUUCACACUCUGGGCAGAAUUUGGGGGCACUAAGACAGUCCCUGGCUAACUCUCUGGUGAACAGCCUCCCUG
Molecule: long non-coding RNA, 1966 nt
Filed under: Homo sapiens (human)
Lineage: Eukaryota; Metazoa; Chordata; Mammalia; Primates; Hominidae
Description: HSALNT0086160
Source: RNAcentral